This 24-nucleotide non-coding RNA is filed under the name Cricetulus griseus (Chinese hamster). Lineage: Eukaryota; Metazoa; Chordata; Mammalia; Rodentia; Cricetidae. The record is from RNAcentral.
AUAGUUUUGUAAGCAGUAGUACUU